GAUGAAGGACGUAGCGAAAUGCGAUAAGUAAUGUGAAUUGCAGAAUUCAGUGAAUCAUCGAAUCUUUGAACGCACAUUGCGCCCGUCAGUAUUCUGGCGGGCAUGCCUGUUCGAGCGUCAUUACGCCCCUCAAGUCCCCUGUGGACUUGGUGUUGGGGAUCGGCGAGGCUGGUUUUCCAGCACAGCCGUCCCUUAAAUUAAUUGGCGGUCUCGCCGUGGCCCUCCUCUGCGCAGUAGUAAAACACUCGCAACAGGAGCCCGGCGCGGUCCACUGCCGUAAAACCCCCCAACUUUUUAUAGUUGACCUCGAAUCAGGUAGGACUACCCGCUGAACUUAAGCAUAUCAAUAAGCGGAGGA
RNAcentral lists this unclassified non-coding RNA (358 nucleotides) under soil metagenome. RNAcentral's name for it is "partial contains 5.8S ribosomal RNA, internal transcribed spacer 2, and large subunit ribosomal RNA". The stretch from base 1 to 120 matches the Rfam family "5.8S ribosomal RNA", at positions 35 to 154 of the family's 154-position model. The record is from RNAcentral.